AUGAGUAAUACACAUACAAAGUUGCACAAAUACGUAUUUGUGCAAGUUUGUGUGUGUGUUACUCAU
Molecule: microRNA precursor, 66 nt
Filed under: Marmota monax (woodchuck)
Lineage: Eukaryota; Metazoa; Chordata; Mammalia; Rodentia; Sciuridae
Source: RNAcentral